This 639-nucleotide unclassified non-coding RNA is filed under the name Magnusiomyces clavatus. RNAcentral describes it as "sequence contains 18S rRNA gene, ITS1, 5.8S rRNA gene, ITS2, 28S rRNA gene". The stretch from base 433 to 639 matches the Rfam family "Eukaryotic large subunit ribosomal RNA", at positions 1 to 226 of the family's 3401-position model. Lineage: Eukaryota; Fungi; Ascomycota; Dipodascomycetes; Dipodascales; Dipodascaceae. The record is from RNAcentral.
UGGAAGUAAAAGUCGUAACAAGGUUUCCGUAGGUGAACCUGCGGAAGGAUCAUUCACAAGAUUAUAAUAUUUUAUUACUUUGUGGAAAAUUUGGUUGAAUUUACAUGUUUUAUUACAAAAAAUUAAUUAUAAUUAAAAAAAUAAUUUUAAGAAAACCUCCAACAACGGAUCUCUUGGUUCCCAGAUCGAUGAAGAGCGCAGCGAAUUGCGAAAUGUGAUGUGUAUUGCAGUGAAUCAUCAAUUCUUGAACGCACAUGGCACCCCUUUUAGGGGUAUGCUUGUAUGAGGGUGUUUAAUAUGAAAUUGCUUUGGCUUUUUUUAAAUAAAUGGUUUUUCAAACAUUGUUACUAAUAAAGAUGAAAGAAUCAGUGCAACAAGCUGUGUUGAAUCUUUCAAUUAAAAUCUUUUUUAGUUAACAUUUUUUAACUAUUUACGCCUCAUAUCAAGCAAGACUACCCGCUGAACUUAAGCAUAUCAAUAAGCGGAGGAAAAGAAACCAACAGGGAUUGCCUUAGUAACGGCGAGUGAAGCGGCAAAAGCUCAAUUUGAAAUCGCUUCGGCGAGUUGUAAGUAAAGUGGUUAGACGCUUUUUAAUAAGUCCCUUGGAACAGGGCGCCAUAGAGGGUGAUAGCCCCGUAU